This 473-nucleotide ribosomal RNA is filed under the name Curvularia inaequalis. RNAcentral describes it as "eukaryotic LSU rRNA". The stretch from base 122 to 275 matches the Rfam family "5.8S ribosomal RNA". The record is from RNAcentral. Lineage: Eukaryota; Fungi; Ascomycota; Dothideomycetes; Pleosporales; Pleosporaceae.
UACCCUUGUCUUUUGCGCACUUGUUGUUUCCUGGGCGGGUUCGCCCGCCACCAGGACCACACCAUAAACCUUUUUUAUGCAGUUGCAAUCAGCGUCAGUACAACAAAUGUAAAUCAUUUACAACUUUCAACAACGGAUCUCUUGGUUCUGGCAUCGAUGAAGAACGCAGCGAAAUGCGAUACGUAGUGUGAAUUGCAGAAUUCAGUGAAUCAUCGAAUCUUUGAACGCACAUUGCGCCCUUUGGUAUUCCAAAGGGCAUGCCUGUUCGAGCGUCAUUUGUACCCUCAAGCUUUGCUUGGUGUUGGGCGUUUUUUGUCUUUGGUUGCCAAAGACUCGCCUUAAAACGAUUGGCAGCCGGCCUCCUGGUUUCGCAGCGCAGCACAUUUUUGCGCUUGCAAUCAGCAACAGAGGGCGGCACUCCAUCAAGACUCCAUUUUCACGUUUGACCUCGGAUCAGGUAGGGAACACAGGUC